Molecule: RNase P RNA, 707 nt
Filed under: Acidobacteriota bacterium
Lineage: Bacteria; Pseudomonadati; Acidobacteriota
Description: Acidobacteria bacterium RNase P RNA component class A
Rfam family: Bacterial RNase P class A
About the family: Ribonuclease P (RNase P) is a ubiquitous endoribonuclease, found in archaea, bacteria and eukarya as well as chloroplasts and mitochondria. Its best characterised activity is the generation of mature 5'-ends of tRNAs by cleaving the 5'-leader elements of precursor-tRNAs. Cellular RNase Ps are ribonucleoproteins.
Source: RNAcentral
CGGGCGGGCCGGGUGAUCGCUGGUUCCGGCGGAUGGAGUGGCGAGGUAAACUCGCCGCUACAAACGUCGGGGCGGGAGGAAAGUCCGGACACCGUCCUGAGGCACGCUGGUCACUUUGCGGGCGUCUCUACGGGCGAUCGCGAAGUGGUUGGCGGAACUCUUGACAGGGCAACGCGCCUGAUAACGUCAGGGGGCCAGCCACGCAGGGUCUGCCGGAAGGCAGAGUUACACGCUUCGGCGUGUAGCGUCCCGACCAAGUCGGGGCGCGGUGCGGUUGAGCUACGGAAAGUGCCACAGAGAAUAGACCGCCGGCGGAGCGCAGCACGGUGGCAUCGCGCAGGGAAACCUGCGGGACGUCUUCGCAAUGCACGCAACGUUUGGCAAGGGUGAAAAGGUGGGGUAAGAGCCCACCGCUCCGGUGGUGACACCGGAGGCACGGAAAACCCCGCGCGGUGCAAGGCCAAAUAGGAGGGGAGAGCCGGCCCGGCUCGAUGAGUCAGCGUUCAUGAGGCCGACCGCUUCGCGGUCGCCACUCCAAUGAACGCGCUCCUUCCCGCGGUGGCGCAAGCCAUUGCGGAUGAAAACCCUCGGGUAGGCUGCUGGAGUCACGGUGCAAAUCGUGGCCUAGAGGAAUGAUCGCCGCAGCACGCGAGCCGUUUCAUGGCUUGCGCGCUGCACAGAAUCCGGCUUACAGGCUCGCCCGCCAA